Peromyscus eremicus (cactus mouse) is the source of this 1156-nucleotide long non-coding RNA. RefSeq lists it as uncharacterized. Lineage: Eukaryota; Metazoa; Chordata; Mammalia; Rodentia; Cricetidae. The record is from RefSeq and is a predicted model, not a curated record. The transcript is spliced from 2 exons.
UCAUGAAUUUCACUUCCCUUUCAACCCCGGCGCCCUGGCCUUGGGGACUUGUGGUGUCAUGCCUCAGGGUCUAUGUGGCCCCAGGGACCAGAGGAUUACUGAUAUAGUAUGGCUUCCCUCCCACCAUCCAGGACCGUUAGCUAUGAGCAAAGGGGCCACCCCUCGUGUCCGCCCUUCUCCUGCACGCCCCGCUCCCGCGGCUCCACCCACACCUUUACCCCACAGCCCACACUCACUGAUGGAGUAGACCUUGGGCUUCCAGCGGGGAUAGCGGCACAGCAAACUGAUGAAGAUGAAGGAUAAAAGGCAAAGCCCAAGGAAGAUGACCAGGGGCAGCAGCACUGCGGUACCUGCAGACAAAGUAGAAGACGCUCAGGGUUUAAGUGAAGAUAGUGGGCACAACUUCAAACACUCCUGAUUUUUCUUGCAUCUGAGCGAAGAGACAAUACUGGUGAGUAGAAAGGCUGCCGGAGGGAGCUCUUUGCCCCUGCGAUUGCUUUUGCUAUUUCUUAGUACCGUGGGACUUAACCUGCCUUGGGAACUGACGCGGAAGAAUGGAAGAUGAGCUCCUCAUACAACCAUUUCGUUUUCCAAGUUAAAGGAGUGCUAGGGUAUGCAUGUAGCCUCAACACUUGGGCGGUAAUGGCAAGAAGGACAGUUCAAGGUCACUCUUGGCUACAUAGCAAGGUCAGGGUCAGCCUGGGCAACAGGAGACCCCGUCGAGAACGAGAAUCGAGAGAGGAAAGCGGAGGGUGGGGAGAGAACGGGCAAUAGGCUAUGUUGAUAAGUUUAGAGUAGUCAUAGUCCCGCAUGGCAGCUCACAACCAUCUGGAACUCCAGUUCCAGUGGAUCUGAUGCCCUCUUCUGGCCUCUGAGGGUACCAGGCAUGUACAUGGUGCACAGACCUACAUGCUGGCAAGACGCUCAUAGACAUAAAAUGAAAAUAAAUAUUUUUACAAAGUAUUUUUAAAUGCCAAGCAUGGUGGCACAUUCCAGCACUCAGGAGGCUGAGGCAGGCAGAUCUCUGUGAGUUCAAGGCCAGCCUGGUCUACAUAGUGAGUCCCAGGACAGGCAGAGCUGCACAGUGAAAUCCUGAAUCAAAAACAAAACAAAACAAAAGAACUUUGUAAAUGAUAAAAUAAAAUGGUUGAUAGGG